GUCACAGUGGUGCUCGGGAGACCGAGGCAGGAGGAUCUCUGAAACCCAGGGGCUCUGGGUGAUAGUGAGCUAUGAUGAUUUGGUGUCUACGCUAAGUUCAGCAUCAACAUGAUGACCUCCCGGGAGUGGGAGACCACAAGGCUGCCUGAGUUGGGGUGGGGAGUAGGGGAAACAGGCCCCUAGGUCAGAAAAGAAACAAGUCAAAAUUCCUGUGCUGAUCUGUAGUGGGAAUACUCCUAUGAAUAGCCACUGCACUCCAGACUGGACAGUAUAGCGAGACUCCAUCUCU
Molecule: signal recognition particle RNA, 289 nt
Filed under: Carlito syrichta (Philippine tarsier)
Lineage: Eukaryota; Metazoa; Chordata; Mammalia; Primates; Tarsiidae
Description: Metazoan signal recognition particle RNA (ENSTSYG00000027754.1)
Rfam family: Metazoan signal recognition particle RNA
About the family: The signal recognition particle (SRP) is a universally conserved ribonucleoprotein. It is involved in the co-translational targeting of proteins to membranes.
Source: RNAcentral